This 3510-nucleotide ribosomal RNA is filed under the name Candidatus Parcubacteria bacterium. RNAcentral describes it as "23S ribosomal RNA". It matches the Rfam family "Bacterial large subunit ribosomal RNA". The record is from RNAcentral. Lineage: Bacteria; Candidatus Parcubacteria.
AAGAUAAAUUUAUGGGCAAAUGGUGGAUGCCUUGGGAGCAGGAGGCGAUGAAGGACGUGGGGUGCCUGCGAUAAGCCUCGGGGAGGUGGCUACCAACCUGUGAUCCGGGGAUUUCCGAAUGGGGAAACCCAACGUAGCUUUAAACUACGUUAUCGCGUUUAAAGCGCGAGGCAAACCCGGGGAAGUAAAACAUUUCAGUACCCGGAGGAAAAGAAAACAAUCUUGUGCUUUGCACAAGACCAUUCCCCCAGUAGCGGCGAGCGAAAAGGGAAGAGCUCAAACCUUGUGCGUAGCACAAGGAAAUUCUAAUCUCUAAAUCUAAACCCCAAACAAUUUCCAAAAUUAAAAUGUUUUCAAUUCAAAAUGACUCAGUUUGUCUUUUUUGGAUUUUGAGUUUUGGUUAUUUGGAUUUGUUUAGGAUUUCGGAUUUCGGAUUUAGGAUUUUCGCGUGCUACGCGCAGGGGGUUGUAGGACACUAACGGAACCUGGUUCGGAAAGUCAAAAAUUUUAUUGGUUAGUUGAAUGUUCCUGGAAAGGCCAGCCAUAGAGGGUGAUAGCCCCGUAAACAAAAACCAAUAAAACUUUCUGGUUAGUGUUCCUGAGUACCGUGGGACAUGAGAAUCCUGCGGGAAGCAGGCUGAACUGUCAGCCAAAGCUAAAUACUACCUGCUCACCGAUAGUGAACCAGUACCGUGAGGGAAAGGUGAAAAGUAGCCCGGUGAGGGCGGUGAAAUAGAACCUGAAACCAUUUUGCCCACAAAGAGUCAACGCCUUGUGCUCCGCACAAGGAAAUUCUAAUUCUUAAAUUCUUAACCUAAAAAAAAUUCUAAUUUUUAAAUUUUCAAAAUUCAAAACUAUUUUGUGUUUUAUUUUUUUAGAUUUAUUAUUUUAAAUUUGUUGUGGGUUGAGAACUUCUCAUUGAGGAUUUUCUUGUGCGGAGCGCGAGGUUAUGGCGUGCUUUUUGCAGAACGAGCCAACGAGUCUGAAUAUACGGCUUGUCUAAACCCCUUUGGGGUGGAGGCAAAGCGAAAGCGAGUAUGAAUAGUGCAUUUUUGGCUGUAUAUUCAGGACCCGAAGCCAGGCGAGCUUGCCAUGGUCAGGGUGAACCCCGUAGAAAUACUGGGGGGAAGCCCGAACCAGUUAGCCGUGCAACACUAUUGGAUGAACUGUGGCAAGAAGUGAAAAGCUAAUCGAGCUUGGUAAUAGCUGGUUCUCCCCGAAAUAGCUUUAGGGCUAGCCUGAACAUCCGAACUUAUGGGGGUAGAGCACUGAAUGGUUCGUCGUGGGUUUUCCCAGACGAUCCAAUCAAACUCCGAAUACCAUAAGCUCAGUUCAGAGUCAGAACAUGGGGGCUAAGCUCCAUGCUCAAAAGGGAAACAGCCCAGACCGCCAUCUAAGGCCCCUAAAUCUAAGCUAAGUGUGAUAAGGAAGUGGAUUUUCAUUGAUAGUUAGAAGGUUAGCUUAGAGGCAGCUAUCCUUUAAAAAGUGCGUAACAGCUUACUACCUGAGAAAAUCCGCGCCGAAGAUUCAGGGGGCUCAAGCUUAGUGCCGAAGAUGCGGCUGCCACUGCUUUGCACUGGAAAUUCGAAGCACGAAUAUCUAAAUUCUAAACAACACUAAAAUUCUCAUUUUUCAAAAUCCAAAACAAGAAAUUAUUAUUGUCUGUUGGAAUUUAUUGUUUUGGGUUUGUUUGGGAUUUAGGAUUUCGGGUUUGGAGUUUCCACUGCGAAGCAGUGGCGGGGUAGGGGAGCGUCCUUAUUGCUGAGAAGCUUUGUCGUAAGGCAGAGUGGAGCGAUAAGGAGUGAGAAUGUUGGCAUGAGUAACCGCAAGGAAGGUGAAAGCCCUUCCCGCCGAAAGCCUAAGGUUUCCUUGGCAAUGACAAUCAACCAAGGGUUAGGCGGUCCUAAGCCGUCCGCCGAAAGGUGUACGAGCGAUGGGUAGACGGUGAAUAUUCCGUCCCUUCUUCAAAUCUUUUUUCGGAAUGACGAACAGUAGUAGCCGGGGCGCAUAAUUGGAUUUGCGUUGGCAACAUAAGAGGCAACUCAAGUGUUGUCAAAAUUACUCUCUUUGAGGGUAAAAUUCCGGUAAGCACUGUUCCCAGAAAAGUUCCGAAAAUUAAAAAUUUGGAGAAUCCGUACCGAAAACCGACACAGGUGGGCUGGUGCAAGAAUACCAAGGCGAACGAGUGAAACUUCGUUAAGGAACUAGGCAAAACAACUAGGCGUAAGUUCGCGAGAUGCCUUGCCGUCUUUAUGGCGGCCGCAGUUAAAGAUCCCAGGCGACUGUUUACCAAAAACACAGGUCCCUGCUAAACUCGUAAGAGGAUGUAUAGGGGCUGAGGCCUGACCAGUGCCCGUGUGUUAAAGUUGCCGGUUGCUUCGCUUUCGCUUCACAACCGGCUCAAUGAAAAAAUUUAAAUUGUAGUAAUUAUUCCGUAAAAAUUUUGAAAAGAAAUUUUUACCCCAUAAUUUUUGAUUUUUAAUUUGAGCGAAGAUGCGGAGCGUAAGCGGAGCAGCUGAGCGAUCUAAGCCACGGGUGAACGUCCGCGGUAACUCUGACCGUGUUAAAGUAGCGUAAUCCCUUGCCGGGUAAGUUCCGGCCCGCAUGAAAGGUUUAACGAUCUGGGAACUGUCUCAACGAAGCGCUCGGUGAAAAUGCAGUAUCCGUGAAGAUGCGGAAUUCCUGCGGCUAGACGAAAAGACCCCGGGAGCUUUACUACAGUUAGGUAUUGGGCUUUGGUUUUAAAUGCGUAGCGUAGGUGGGAGGAGAUGAGGUCUCGCUUGCGGGCGAGGCUGAUCCGCCAAUGAAACACCACCCUUUUAAAAUCUUUGUCCUAAUCUCUUGCCAAAGAGAGACAGUGCUUAACGGGUAGUUUAAGUGGGGCGCUUGCCUCCUAAAAGGUAACGGAGGCGUUUAAAGGUUGGCUAAGGCCGGAUGGAAAUCGGCCUGAUAGGGCAAAGCCAUAAGCCAGCUUUACUGCGAGACUUACCAGUCAAGCAGUUGCGAAAGCAGAACUUAGUGAACCGACCCUUAUUCACAGGAAUAGGGAAGAUAAUCGGCCAAAAGUUACCCCGGGGAUAACAGGCUGGUAGGGCCCGAGAGUUCACAUCGACGGCCCUGUUCGGCACCUCGAUGUCGGCUCACCUUAUCCUGGAGGUGGAGAAGCUUCCAAGGGUGGGGCUGUUCGCCCAUUAAAAAGGUACGUGAGCUGGGUUCAGUACGUCGCGAGACAGUACGGUCUCUUUCUACCGCAGGCGCCGAGUCUUGAGGGGAGUUCCGGGUAGUACGAGAGGACCCCCGGGAGCCAAUCUCUGGUGUGCCAGUUGUUCCGCCAGGAGCAUGGCUGGGUAGCUAAGUUGGUUUAGGAUAAGCGCUGAAAGCAUCUAAGCGCGAAGCCGACCCCAAGAUUAGGACUCAUUGAGAUCGGUUGCAGACUACAACCUUGAUAGGCCUUAAGUGUAAGCUCCGUAAGGAGUUCAGCUGAGAGGUACUAAUAGAUCAAUUAUCUUC